UUGAAUAAGCUUGGUUGGGCUGUUGCUGGCUUUUUGGAGCAUGUGCACGCCUAACACCAACCUCUUACCAACCUGUGCACCCUUUGUAGACCUGGAUAUAUAAUACCCCUCCCGGUUUGAGGAUUGCCGUGCGUCAAAGCCGGCUUUUCUUAUAUUUCCGGUCUAUGUCUUUAAUAUAUACACCAUCAGUAUGUCUAUGAAUGUUAUUAUCGGACUUCACUGUCCAAUAAACCUUAAUA
RNAcentral lists this unclassified non-coding RNA (239 nucleotides) under uncultured Tricholomataceae. RNAcentral's name for it is "sequence contains ITS1". Lineage: Eukaryota; Fungi; Basidiomycota; Agaricomycetes; Agaricales; Tricholomataceae. The record is from RNAcentral.